UACGAAGGGGGCUAGCGUUGCUCGGAAUCACUGGGCGUAAAGCGCACGUAGGCGGCUUUUUAGGUCAGGGGUGAAAUCCUGGAGCUCAACUCCAGAACUGCCUUUGAUACUGAGAAGCUUGAGUCCGGGAGAGGUGAGUGGAACUGCGAGUGUAGAGGUGAAAUUCGUAGAUAUUCGCAAGAACACCAGUGGCGAAGGCGGCUCACUGGCCCGGUACUGACGCUGAGGUGCGAAAGCGUGGGGAGCAAACAGG
Molecule: ribosomal RNA, 253 nt
Filed under: uncultured bacterium
Lineage: Bacteria
Description: partial 16S ribosomal RNA
Rfam family: Bacterial small subunit ribosomal RNA
Source: RNAcentral